GUAUGGUUAAGUGACUAAGCGUACAGGGCGGAUGCCUUGGCAAUCAGAGGCGAUGAAGGACGUGCUAAUCUGCGAAAAGCUUGGAUGAGUCGAU
This 94-nucleotide ribosomal RNA is filed under the name Pasteurella multocida subsp. multocida str. Anand1_goat. RNAcentral's name for it is "partial 23S ribosomal RNA". It matches the Rfam family "Bacterial large subunit ribosomal RNA", at positions 1 to 90 of the family's 2925-position model. Lineage: Bacteria; Pseudomonadati; Pseudomonadota; Gammaproteobacteria; Pasteurellales; Pasteurellaceae. The record is from RNAcentral.